UAAUAAAAGGUAAGCUACGAAGAGCGAAUGGUGGAUGCCUUGACUGGUAAAGGCGAUGAAGGACGUACUAGACUGCGAUAAGCUACGGGGAGCUGUCAAGAAGCUUUGAUCCGUAGAUUUCCGAAUGGGGCAACCCAAUGUAUAGAGAUAUACAUUACCUAUAGUAGGAGCGAACGAGGGGAAUUGAAACAUCUUAGUACCCUCAGGAAAAGAAAUCAAUAGAGAUUGCGUCAGUAGCGGCGAGCGAAAGCGCAAGAGGGCAAACCCAGUGCUUGCACUGGGGGUUGUAGGACUGCAAUGUGCAAGAGCUGAGUUUAGCAGAACAUUCUGGAAAGUAUAGCCAUAGAGGGUGAUAGUCCCGUAUGCGAAAAACAAAGCUUAGCUAGCAGUAUCCUGAGUAGGGCGGGACACGAGGAAUCCUGUCUGAAUCCGGGUCGACCACGAUCCAACCCUAAAUACUAAUACCAGAUCGAUAGUGCACAAGUACCGUGAGGGAAAGGUGAAAAGAACUGAGGUGAUCAGAGUGAAAUAGAACCUGAAACCAUUUGCUUACAAUCAUUCAGAGCACUAUGUAGCAAUACAGUGUGAUGGACUGCCUUUUGCAUAAUGAGCCUGCGAGUUGUGGUGUCUGGCAAGGUUAAGCAAACGCGAAGCCGUAGCGAAAGCGAGUCUGAAUAGGGCGCUUAGUCAGAUGCUGCAGACCCGAAACGAAGUGAUCUAUCCAUGAGCAAGUUGAAGCUAGUGUAAGAACUAGUGGAGGACUGAACCCGCUAGCGUUGAAAAGCUAUGGGAUGACUUGUGGAUAGGGGUGAAAGGCCAAUCAAACUUCGUGAUAGCUGGUUCUCUCCGAAAUAUAUUUAGGUAUAGCGUUGUGUCGUAAUAUAAGGGGGUAGAGCACUGAAUGGGCUAGGGCAUACACCAAUGUACCAAACCCUAUCAAACUCCGAAUACCUUAUAUGUAAUCACAGCAGUCAGGCGGCGAGUGAUAAAAUCCGUCGUCAAGAGGGAAACAACCCAGACUACCAGCUAAGGUCCCUAAAUCUUACUUAAGUGGAAAACGAUGUGAAGUUACUUAAACAACCAGGAGGUUGGCUUAGAAGCAGCCAUCCUUUAAAGAAAGCGUAAUAGCUCACUGGUCUAGUGAUUUUGCGCGGAAAAUAUAACGGGGCUAAAGUAAGUACCGAAGCUGUAGACUUGCACACAACUUAGAUUAUUUAAGUUUAGAAUAUGAGAAACUAAGUUAACUAAGUUAUAUGUUUAGUUAUAUUUUUACUGAUUUUUAUAGAGUAAAGAUAAAAACAAAAACUUCGUAAAAAUAAUAAAAUAUAGUAAAAAACAAUAAAAAUAUUCUUAGAUUAAAAGUUAAGUCAUUUAAGUUGUGUGCAAGUGGUAGGAGAGCGUUCUAUUUGCGUCGAAGGUAUACCGGUAAGGAGUGCUGGAGCGAAUAGAAGUGAGCAUGCAGGCAUGAGUAGCGAUAAUUAAUGUGAGAAUCAUUAACGCCGUAAACCCAAGGUUUCCUACGCGAUGCUCGUCAUCGUAGGGUUAGUCGGGUCCUAAGUCGAGUCCGAAAGGGGUAGACGAUGGCAAAUUGGUUAAUAUUCCAAUACCAACAUUAGUGUGCGAUGGAAGGACGCUUAGGGCUAAGGGGGCUAGCGGAUGGAAGUGCUAGUCUAAGGUCGUAGGAGCUUAUACAGGAAAAUCCGUAUAAGAACACUCCGAGAACUGAAAGGCUUUUUGAAGUCUUCGGAUGGAUAGAAGAACCCCUGAUGCCGUCGAGCCAAGAAAAGUUUCUAAGUUUAGCUAAUGUUGCCCGUACCGUAAACCGACACAGGUGGGUGGGAUGAGUAUUCUAAGGCGCGUGGAAGAACUCUCUUUAAGGAACUCUGCAAAAUAGCACCGUAUCUUCGGUAUAAGGUGUGGUUAGCUUUGUAUUAGGAUUUACUCCGAAAGCGAAGAAACUUACAACAAAGAGUCCCUCCCGACUGUUUACCAAAAACACAGCACUCUGCUAACUCGUAAGAGGAUGUAUAGGGUGUGACGCCUGCCCGGUGCUCGAAGGUUAAUUGAUGGGGUUAGCAUUAGCGAAGCUCUUGAUCGAAGCCCGAGUAAACGGCGGCCGUAACUAUAACGGUCCUAAGGUAGCGAAAUUCCUUGUCGGUUAAAUACCGACCUGCAUGAAUGGCGUAACGAGAUGGGAGCUGUCUCAAAGAGGGAUCCAGUGAAAUUGUAGUGGAGGUGAAAAUUCCUCCUACCCGCGGCAAGACGGUAAGACCCCGUGGACCUUUACUACAGCUUGACACUGCUAUUUGGAUAAGAAUGUGCAGGAUAGGUGGGAGGCUUUGAGUAUAUGACGCCAGUUGUAUAGGAGCCAUUGUUGAGAUACCACUCUUUCUUAUUUGGGUAGCUAACCAGCUUGAGUUAUCCUCAAGUGGGACAAUGUCUGGCGGGUAGUUUGACUGGGGCGGUCGCCUCCCAAAUAAUAACGGAGGCUUACAAAGGUUGGCUCAGAACGGUUGGAAAUCGUUCAUAGAGUAUAAAGGUAUAAGCCAGCUUAACUGCAAGACAUACAAGUCAAGCAGAGACGAAAGUCGGUCUUAGUGAUCCGGUGGUUCUGUGUGGAAGGGCCAUCGCUCAAAGGAUAAAAGGUACCCCGGGGAUAACAGGCUGAUCUCCCCCAAGAGCUCACAUCGACGGGGAGGUUUGGCACCUCGAUGUCGGCUCAUCGCAUCCUGGGGCUGGAGCAGGUCCCAAGGGUAUGGCUGUUCGCCAUUUAAAGCGGUACGCGAGCUGGGUUCAGAACGUCGUGAGACAGUUCGGUCCCUAUCUGCCGUGGGCGUAAGAAGAUUGAAGAGAUUUGACCCUAGUACGAGAGGACCGGGUUGAACAAACCACUGGUGUAGCUGUUGUUCUGCCAAGAGCAUCGCAGCGUAGCUAAGUUUGGAAAGGAUAAACGCUGAAAGCAUCUAAGCGUGAAGCCAACUCUAAGAUGAAUCUUCUCUAAGCUCUCUAGAAGACUACUAGUUUGAUAGGCUGGGUGUGUAAUGGAUGAAAGUCCUUUAGCUGACCAGUACUAAUAGAGCGUUUGGCUUAUCUUUAUAAAGCAU
Molecule: ribosomal RNA, 3104 nt
Filed under: Campylobacter jejuni
Lineage: Bacteria; Pseudomonadati; Campylobacterota; Epsilonproteobacteria; Campylobacterales; Campylobacteraceae
Description: 23S ribosomal RNA
Rfam family: Bacterial large subunit ribosomal RNA
Source: RNAcentral